GACGAACGCUGGCGGCGUGCUUAACACAUGCAAGUCGAACGGAAAGGCCCUGCUUUUGUGGGGUGCUCGAGUGGCGAACGGGUGAGUAACACGUGAGUAACCUGCCCUUGACUUUGGGAUAACUUCAGGAAACUGGGGCUAAUACCGGAUAGGAGCUCCUGCUGCAUGGUGGGGGUUGGAAAGUUUCGGCGGUUGGGGAUGGACUCGCGGCUUAUCAGCUUGUUGGUGGGGUAGUGGCUUACCAAGGCUUUGACGGGUAGCCGGCCUGAGAGGGUGACCGGCCACAUUGGGACUGAGAUACGGCUCAGACUCCUACGGGCGGCAGCAGUGGGGAAUAUUGCACAAUGGGCGGAAGCCUGAUGCAGCAACGCCGCGUGGGGGAUGACGGCCUUCGGGUUGUAAACCGCUUUCGCCUGUGACGAAGCGUGAGUGACGGUAAUGGGUAAAGAAGCACCGGCUAACUACGU
Molecule: ribosomal RNA, 467 nt
Filed under: uncultured bacterium
Lineage: Bacteria
Description: partial 16S ribosomal RNA
Rfam family: Bacterial small subunit ribosomal RNA
Source: RNAcentral